This 25955-nucleotide long non-coding RNA is filed under the name Brassica rapa (field mustard). Its description in RNAcentral is "long non-coding RNA (BRAP_LNC004573)". The record is from RNAcentral. Lineage: Eukaryota; Viridiplantae; Streptophyta; Magnoliopsida; Brassicales; Brassicaceae.
CAAAGCCCAUCGAACAAAGGGCCCAAUCCAGCAGAUCGAGUCAACCUCGGCUCGGAAGCCGAUUCUCGGGGUAUCGGCUUAGCCAGGAAACGCUGUUAGUCGAAGCAGAGAGCAAACGAAGCGGGACCAAUCGACUAAGCGGCUCGGAGCGAUCACCUCCUAAUCAGGCCCGGAGGGCCGACAAGGCCCAAUCAGUAAAAGGAGAUUAGGUUAAGGUAAUCGAACAGAGUAUAAAAGGAGAGGAAAGCAAAGGAGAAAGGCAUCGACACUUAGCUACACAAACUUAGCGGCGAGAUUAGGGUUUAUCAUCCGUACAAUCAUCUCUCUGCUAUUUGUACUUUUCCGGUUUAAGCUCUCACGAGCUCCGACUUGCUUUUACUUUCUCCACCUUUGUAACAUCAUCUCGAAAUCUAAUAAACGCCUCUGUUCGACCCAUUUCUAGUAUUGUUUACUUCACCCGAGACCAAACUCACCUUAAACAAUUGGCGCCCACCGUGGGGCCGAACAGACCCAGCGUUUCUAGACCGAUAUGACCACCGGAGGUACGAACCCUGAUACCUCAGGAGAGGAGCCGGCACUCACGCCUCCUCCGCCUCCUCCCCUCCUCUCGUCGGAAUUCAUGAGUUCAGUCAUAGCCCGACUUGCUCAUCAAGAAGAAGUUCAGAAGACGACGAAUGAUCAGCUCGCCGCCAUUGUCGCUGCUCUUAGCGCCUCCACCGGCAACUCACAACCGCUCCGUCGUUACCUCUUCAAUACAAACCCUCCUACUCCGGCAGAAGGACGAACGACGAACCCAGUCGAUCCCACUCUUCAACUCGCGGAAACCCUAGCCGCCGAUGCUUCUCCUGCAGCGUCAGAUCCAUCAACUGUCCGAGAAAUCGCUGAGCUUAAACUAAAUUUCCAACAAAUGAGUUCGAGGAUCCACCAAGCAACGAGCGCAGUACCCGAGAUUGACAGUGUCAUCGCAUCAACAUCGCGUACUCCUUUCACCGAGGAACUGACGGAGGUCAAACUCCGAAAGAUGGACAAGUUGCGUCUUCCGGAAUACAAACCAGGAGGAGAUCCCGUCGAGCACUUGACGGCUUUUAAUAUUGCGGUAGCGAGGGCCAGACUCGCCCCCGAUGAAAGAGACGCGGGAUACUGCCAACUUUUCAUUGAAACACUCAACGAGCAAGCCUUAACCUGGUUCUCGGGACUCGAAGAGAAUUCAAUUAGAAGCUUCAAAGAGCUCUCCUCGGCUUUUCUCAAGACUUAUAUCAUGUUCACCAAGCGUGAAGCAACGGCGUCGACUCUCUGGAACCUCAAGCAAACGAAGGAUCAGAAUCUUCGCGAUUACAUGGAACGUUUUAAGUCGGUCGUGUCAAGAAUCAAUAUCCCAGACCACAUCGCCGUCGAUGCCUUGAGGAACAAUCUCCUUGUGGAAUGUAAGUUCCGAGAAGAUCUCUAUCGAUGCACCGCCACGACGUUGCAAGAUGCCGUUGCUCGUUCUCACAACUUCAUUCGUAUGGAAGAAGACACUAAAGCCAUCUUGAGCAAGCACAACUCGGCGAAGCAAUCGGCGCCUAAAAAUGCCGCCACAGCUCACGUCGAACCUCGUCAGCAUGCUCCAAGCGACAAAAAUAACCGUAAGAACGGUCUCCUUUACGUCGUCGACGAAAACGGGAAGAAGUGGAACACCUUUCAUCGGGAAACCGAUCCUCCAAGCGAAUCCCCCCGAGCAACAGCGCCAGCCACGGUCGCCCAGGUCGAUUCGGCAGCGGGAUCUUCCCGGACCCCACCAGGGCUUACUAAAUCGUGCAAACUCCACGGUGUAAAAGGUCACGACACUUCGGAGUGCAAAACACUUUUUGCGCAAUUCCUCUCCUCACUCGAAAGCGGUGAAAUUAAGAUUCCUCCUCCGAAGCCAAAAAGCGAGAACAGUUGGAGCAGAAACAAGGACAGGAAAAAUCAGCGAAAAAAUCAAGCAAAACCGCGUCAAGACGACCAAAAACCAAAGGUCGCCGAGCAAAUCCCACAUCAAGACGAUGAUGGUGACGCCUCAGCUGACGAAGAUCCGCCGGCAGCCAGACAAAGGAUUGAAGUCAUUCGAGCCCAACCGGAGUCCUCAUCAGACGAAGAGAGCGAUCUCGAGGAAGCCCUCGACCCGUUGGACUUACGUGUACUCCUCAAACGAAAGACCACGCCAACGAAUGACAAGACUCCCGGAUCAUCCGAUCUCCGAGUCGAGCUCAAUGCUAAAAGAACUAAGCAUUCGCUGAGCCCAGGAUCCUCAUUGGUAACUACGGAAGGCAAUCCUAUCGUCGAUCUACGAGAUCAGCUUAACGCGCGAGUCGGUGAUUUGCGUGCAAAACUGGACCACAAAAAGGCCGGGUCGCCGAAAGAAAGCGAAGACCUCCGAGCUCUUCUCACCAGGAAGCAAUCAAGUGUCAGGCCGCGGAUCAACGUGAUUAUGGGAGGAUCUCCACCUUGCGGGGACUCCGUACGAGCAGUCAAAGAUCACCGACGAAUGGUGGACACCUCGCAGCGCUGGCCGCAGAAGUUCCCAACUGAUCUCCCAAUCUCCUUCUCAACUGAAGACCUUGUCGGAGUAACUUUCCCUCACAACGAUCCUCUCCUCGUCGUUUUAGCCAUCGAUAAGUACGACGUCACCAAAGUGCUGAUCGAUACUGGCAGCUCGGUCGAUAUCAUUUUUCGCGAAACUCUCGUAAAAAUGGGAAUCGACUUAAAAGACGUGAAACCGUCAUCCAGGACUCUCACCGGCUUUAACGGUUCUUCCGAAGUAAUCAUGGGAACUAUCCGUCUCUCGGUACAAGCAGAGGGAGUAGCACGGAUGGUCAAGUUCUCGGUAGUCAGCACCAAGGCUCCCUACCACGUGAUACUAGGCACUCCAUGGUUGUACUCCAUGCGUGCAAUCGCAUCCACGUACCAUCAGUGCGUCAAAUUCCCGGGAAUGGAUGGCACGACUAAGACAGUGAGAGGAGAUCAACGGGCCGCGCGAGAUCUCUUAAUCGCCACGGUCAAACUGCAGCGAUCUCAGUCACUAGUCAACUCGAUCUCACCUCCUAUCAGCAAGAUCUGCCCACAAAAGGAAGAGGUGCUCGAAGUCCCAGUCGACGAAUCGGAUCCAAGUAAAGUGCUACGAGUAGGCGCUUAUCUGUCGGACGAGAUGCAACGUGAUAUCACGGAUUUCCUGAAGCAAAACUUGUCUACCUUUGCCUGGUCGAUGACUGACAUGCAGGGAAUCGACCAGUCCAUCACGACUCACGAGCUAAACGUAGACCCAAAUAUUAAGCCCAUCCGACAGAAGAGACGAAAGUUGGGUCCCGAAAGAUCCAAAGCAGUUGUCGAGGAAGUCGAGCGCUUACUAAGCGCGGGCUCAAUAGCAGAAGUUCGUUACCCGGAAUGGCUCGCUAACCCGGUGGUUGUCAAGAAGAAAAACGGCAAGUGGCGCAUGUGCGUCGAUUUUACUGACCUCAACAAAGCCUGCCCAAAAGACAGCUACCCACUUCCGAACAUCGACAGAUUGGUCGAGUCAACUGCUGGCAAUGAAAUGCUCACGUUUAUGGACGCUUUCUCGGGAUACAACCAGAUCAUGAUGCAUCCCGACGAUCGAGAGAAGACGUCGUUCAUAACGGAUCGAGGAACUUACUGCUACAAAGUAAUGCCCUUCGGGCUGAAGAAUGCCGGUGCGACGUACCAGCGACUUGUCAACCGCAUGUUCGCUAAACAGCUCGGUACAACGAUGGAAGUCUACAUCGAUGACAUGCUCGUCAAAUCAGUCCGAGCAAACGACCACCUGGCACACUUAAGGGAGUGUUUCGACAUCCUAAACGCGUACAAGAUGAAGCUAAACCCGGCCAAAUGCACUUUCGGGGUAUCGUCCGGAGAAUUCCUUGGCUACAUAGUGACGCAGCGGGGAAUCGAAGCAAACCCGAAGCAAAUAUCAGCUGUCCUUGAUCUCCCCAGUCCGAGAAACUGCCGAGAAGUCCAACGACUAACAGGCCGAAUCGCAGCGCUUAAUCGUUUCAUCUCCCGAUCCACCGAUAAAUGCCUCCCAUUCUACGAUCUCCUCCGAGGAAACAAGAAAUUCAUUUGGGACGAUAAAUGUGAGGAGGCUUUUAGUCAGCUCAAACAUUACCUGACGACGCCCCCUAUCCUGGCAAAGCCGGACAUAGGCGACGUUUUAUCUCUCUACAUUGCGGUCUCAUCCGCCGCAGUCAGCAGCGUGCUAAUCAAGGAGGACCGAGGAGAACAACGACCUGUUUUCUACAUGAGCAGGAGGAUGACCGGACCAGAAACCCGGUACCCGACACUUGAAAAGAUGGCCCUGGCCGUCGUCGAAUCAGCGAGGAAACUCCGCCCAUAUUUUCAGUCACAUUCGGUAGAAGUUCUCACCGACCAGCCGCUCAGAACUGUCCUGCAAAACACGAACAGAGCUGGCCGUCUUACCAAAUGGGCGAUCGAACUCGGAGAGCUCGACAUCACCUUAAAGUGUAGAACCGCCGCUAAGGCUCAAGUCCUCGCCGAUUUCCUCGUGGAGUUAUCUCCGGAACUCGCUCAAGAUUUGGAAACCUCGGAUUCAACAUGGAUCCUGCAUGUCGACGGUUCCUCGACAAACAAAGGCUCUGGAGCAGGAGUUCAGCUUCAAUCCCCAUCGGGAGAACUCAUUCGACAGUCGUUCAGUUUCGGUUUCCCAGCAUCAAACAACGAAGCAGAGUAUGAGUCACUCAUCGCCGGCCUUCGCCUCGCCAAAGCAGUCAAGGCUAAGCGACUCAGUGCAUACUGCGACUCACAGCUCGUCGCCAGUCAGUUCAGCGGUGAUUACGAUGCGCGCAACGAUAGAAUGGAUGCUUACCUCCGAGUCGUACAAGCAUUGGCUAAAGAGUUCGAAUUCUUCGAGCUCACAAAGGUUCCUCGUGGAGAAAAUGUCUGUGCGGAUGCGUUAGCAGCACUCGGAAGCAAGCUACGCGAUCAAGUCAAAAGGACUAUUCCAAUCCACCGAAUCGAGAAACCAAGCAUCGACAUCUCAACGGAAUCAGCUAACUUCGUCACCACAGAACCGAAACAACGCCCUUAUCUGAGACCAACGACGACUCCGAGAUGACAGACCAAGAUCAGCUACUACCCGACUGGAGGACUGAAUUCAUCCAAUAUCUCACCGCGGGCACACUUCCAACGGAUAAAUGGGCCGCAAGACGAUUAAAGAGGCGCAGCGCGCACUACGUCGUCAUGGAAGAAGAACUCCACCGAGUAACGGCUAACAAGGUCCUCCUGAAAUGCAUUUUCGCCGAGCAAACACAUUUAGUAAUGGCAGAAACUCACGAAGGAGCGGGUGGAAACCACUCUGGAGGUCGAUCACUAGCCUUGAAAAUUCGGAACUUGGGAUUUUUCUGGCCAACUAUGAAUACCGACUGCGAAGCAUAUGCCCGGCGAUGCGACAAAUGCCAACGACACGCUCCGAGUAUCCACAGUCCAACCGAGCUACUGCGAACUUCCGCAGCACCUUACCCAUUCAUGCGAUGGGGGAUGGAUAUCAUCGGACCAAUGCCGAAUUCUCGCCAACGUCGCUUCGUGCUGGUAUUGACCGACUAUUUCACCAAAUGGAUUGAAGCAGAAGCCUUCGCGCAGGUUACAGAGAAGGAGGUUCGCGGCUUUGUUUGGAAGAACAUUAUCUGUCGCCACGGCCUACCAUACGAGAUCGUGACGGACAACGGAUCACAGUUUAUGGCCGGAAACUUUAAAGAUUUCUGCAACAAGUGGAACAUCCGACUAAGCCCUUCAACGCCGAGGUAUCCUCAAGGAAACGGACAAGCAGAAUCCUCGAAUAAGAUCAUCAUCGACGGAAUCAAGAAGCGCCUCGAUCUCAAAAAGGGACAUUGGGCCGAUGAACUCGACGGCGUGCUCUGGUCGCAUCGGACAACCCCCCGAGGAGCAACAAAAUCUACUCCCUUCUCACUCGCUUACGGGAUGGAGGCGAUGGCUCCGGCCGAGGUCAAUGUAACGAGUCUCCGCCGGUCUAAGAUGCCUCAGCACGUUGAGCUUAACCAAGAGAUGCUGCUAGAUGCCCUCGAUGGGCUAGAAGAGAAGCGCGACCAAGCCUUACUUCGGAUCCAGAAUUACCAAAACCAAAUCGAGAGCUAUUACAACAAGAAGGUCCGCUCGCGUCCUCUCGAGCUCGGUGAUCUGGUCAUGAGAAAAGUCUUCGAGAACACCAAAGAGCCCAACGCUGGAAAACUCGGUGCGAAUUGGGAAGGACCAUAUAAAAUCACUCGAGUCGUCAAACCAGGAGUAUACCGACUCGAGACUUCCCGCGGAGAGGCAGUCCCACGAGCUUUGAACUCCAUGCAUCUUCGCCGUUUUUACUCAUAAAAUGAGUAACUUUUCAGAGCGAGUAAAAUGAUCUACAUCACCUUUUUGCUCGCGCCAAAAAAAAAAAAAAAAAAAAAAAAAACCGAGCAGAUGCACCCUACGGUCACUUCUACUCGCCCAAGUAAAUGACUACCAAGUCACUUUUACUCGGACUAAAACGAACUACGAAAGGCUUGAUCCUCCUCGGAGGUACGUAGGCAUCCCCUCUACGGGGUCCAGCCCCAACAACCCAAACAAAAAAAAAAGUUUUACUCAUCUCGUUCCUCUCACGAGCAAACGAUGCCAGCCCCUUAACUCGAAAAGCGGCGCACGAGCACUCGCCCAAAUUAAUCGAACGUAUCCUGAUCAGAUAUCGAACGAAGGGAAAAACAGAGUCACCGAUGAUGUAAAUCAUUGACCAAAUUCACGAAGUGGAAUUUCGGAUCUUAUCGCAAAUCGAAAAAUAAUGAGUUGGCCGACCAAAUUUUCUCGAUUACGGCGUAGCAUUCAGAUACCUUUCCCUCGGAAACUUAUCAAAAAGAAAAUUCUUGUCUUAACUCUUUCCCGACUUAUCACAAGAAAGAAUAGUGGGAUUGAGUUAACGAGCAACGAAUAAUUUCAUAAUCGACUAAGACGUUAGCGGUUAUCCGUAACAUACUUAAAAGAAAAAACACUUGGUAAUCAUUCAAAGUUUAAAAAAAAAAGGGCAAAGGAAACCUUCCGAGUACUUAAACAACAACAGAGACAAGUUCAAAGGCUUCAAGGAGCCGAAAUAGAAAAAUUUUACAACAGAUGACGACAGGCAUCAAUCAACCACGGGAGGAUCCUCGUUGCCGCGGCCAUCUCCUUCUCCGGGACCCGAGACACGACCAAAUUUGGUUGGGGCUGGCGCAGUCGCGUCUGCAGUAGGCAUCCCCGCAAGAGCAUCAUCACCUUUCUCCGGGUCCUCUGACGACGAAGCAGAUGAGCUGGCAUUCUUCGAUGCCUUAGCAGGGGAAUCCGUUAGCACGAUAGUCGGCACGGCUCCGUCCUUCAAAACAACCGCUCCUGCUGAUGCCUGCUUCGCAGGGUCAAUGUCUUGGUCGGUGGGCUGGUUGGAGGAUACAGCAGUUUGAGCGGGCUUCUCCACCGGAUCUUCAGGACGAAGAGGAGUACGCAGAGCAAUAGCGGCCUCCGAAUCGAUCAAUUAAUAUUUGACCCAAACGGGUCAAGCUGACGCCAAAUUUCCUCGAUCAAAAAUCGAGACUCCAACACUAGCGGAGAAAGGCAAAGAUCUUCCGCCGGAAUCUCCUUUACCUCCAAACGCUCUGCUUCUUCCUCGUAGUGCUUCUCUUGCCCGAUGAAGAAGUCGAUGGUUUCCUGCGGGAUCUCAACACCAGAGGCCUUGAUCUGCUCGAGACAUUUCCUCGUCCCGAAGGCUUGACUAUAGAGACACCGAGCAUCGUCGUAUUUGUCCCUUUGUCCUCACGAAGGGAAAUCCUGUGAAAGCGUUUCUCGGCUUUAGCGAUCAUGGCAAUCAGCACGCGAACCCUCUCGUGCGUGACCUCGUAUUUACGAGAUUUCCGAAGCCUGUCCAUCUCCUCGGAAUGCCUUAGCAAUUCCGCAGCCAUUUUUGCCUCUAGAUCAGCCUUUUCCUUCCGCUGCUUAUCCACCACGAACUCGAGAUUGUUCAUCGCCUCCUUACACAUCUGCAGUUCAGCCGCGUCAGAUGUUCGCGUCUCGUCAAACGCUUUCCUGAGAGAUUUCUCCCGAGCAAUGGCUUCAGCCUUUUCCCGCGAAGACACCCGAAGAGCCUCCUCCGCUUUUCUUCUUGGCUCGCUCUCACGGAUCUGCUCUCUAGCCCGCCUGAGGGCUGUGUCAUACUUCCCGACCAGAACAUUCCAGUCGCCGUGGCUCUGAUCAAAACACAAAAAGACUUAGCCAAAAUAAUUUAAGGUUCGGAAAAGAAGGGAACGAACAACCGCUUACCUUUACAGACGAGCAAGAGGCGUGCUCAUACUCAUCUUUGAAGAUGAGAUCUCCCACCGAAGGGAGUUGAUCGGGACCGCCUUUGACCAACCGUAACAGGCGAGCACAAUCUUCCGGGUAGCAAGCCAGCGGAAGCUCACGGUUAAACUCGAAUCUGAACCCAUCUGCCGGGGUUUCCUUAGGGCGACCGGAUACUCGGGUCUCAGAUCCCUCCGUGACAUGAGCAGGGGACUCAUUCCUCAAGCGGUCCCGCUGUCCUCCCGAAGUCGAUAUUCCCCUCGGAACCUCAGUAGAACGCAGAUCACCGGCCAAGGCUCCACGGGAUACCUCCUCGGUGACUCGACUCUCCCGUCUCCGUCGGCGGAGGGCGAUGGUCUCGUUCUCAUCAUCCUCCGAGGUCCCAACCUCAGGGAUAGCUUCAGGAACUAGAGCCUGAAGUUCCUCUUCGCAGACCGAGGAUGAGCGGGGCGGAGCCGUUCUUUCUUCUUCAUCCUCUUCUUCUUGGGAAUAUCUUCAGAAGGCGGGUCCCCGGCUUUCCUUUUCUUCCCCCCUUUCUUAGAAGAACCAUCCGCACCAGGAUGUUCCGGCUCGGAGGAAUCCUUCGGACCCCCGGCACUUUUCUUGCUCUUCUUCGAGCUUUUACCCUGCGAGGAGCCGCCAGUACGCGCCUGCUCAGUGGCAAUUGGAGUCGCCUCUACGACCUCCAGUCCCGAAGGACCAACCCUGUUCUCAGAAGCGCCUCGCUUGGCACCGAUCUUCCCGGCUACAAUAAGACUAAGGUCUGGUAGUUGCUUCAUCGUUUUAGCUCGGUUGAUCUCCUUCUGCUCGGCUCUCGUAAAGAGGGAUAAUCUCUUCGAUGUCGAUUGGUUAAUAUGAGGAUGCGGUUCCGAGAUCCAGCUUUCUGCAAAAAGAGAAAUCCUUAAUAGACAUCGUUCAUUUACUCGAGAACAUAGAAAGGUAGUGGAAACUUACGGUUGGCAAUCCGGUCUACAGAUCUCUGAAUUCUCUCUCGAGUAAAAUCCUCCCAGUGAUCUUGCUUCUGCAACGCAACAAUUCGAGCACUCUCCCUCCAAUCCUCGGGGUACGUGGCGAGAUUCGGGUGACCAACUAAAAAAAAAAAAAAGAAGAAAAACACACGUUAGACGAGCACACGCUACAAUCAUCACGAAAGGCAGUGUGCAGUACCCAUCUCCGCAUUCCAAAGAACGCGAUAACCAGACUUCGGAGGUUCCUCGAACGCUGACCUGUUCGACUUCACAUAGAAGUACGAACGUUGCCAAUCCGAGGUUUUGGUCGGAUACCCCGUAACCACGUUGUAGUUUGGGCGCAUCCUCGUCGAGACGAGCCCAUCAUCGGAAAUUGAAACCGAGGUCAAUUCUUCAAACGACCUCACACUCAUCGACGUCCCCGCCUCGGCCGCAAUUACCGAUAGAACGACCAUCAACCGAAGAGACCCGUUCAUCAGCUGGCUUAAAGCGACUCCUCUGCGGAACGCAUAAGUCGUGACGAUUCGAGGAAUCGGGAACCACAGCUUCGUGUCAUUCCGGAAAUAUGACUCGUAGAUGCACUGAUACCCCUUCGGGGGCGACCAAGGCCUCUGAUCCCGCUUUGGAAUGAUGAACGAGACCCCGUGUGCAUUGAGAUCUCGGAGAAUAGCCUCCACCGACUCCACGGUGGACUUCGUCCUCUCGACGUUGGACCAAUCUUGUCCAUCGACGACCGAAGGUCGAAUUCUCCAAACCUCCAGUGGGCUCUCCUCGGCGAAGAUGUUCCCAGGGUAGUAGCUGAUCGGAACAAUCGAGGCGUCGACCGCUUCUUGACCGUCGUCGUCACCCCGGAACUGUUCUCUUGCUUCCGAGACCAAAAGACGCUGCGCUAAAUCCAUAUUCUCCGUAUCCAUCAUUGCUCCGUGAUGGAUACUGUCAGGAUUCUCAGCAGAAUCCCGAGAAGAUACCGCCCCCUUUCCUUUUUGUUCUCGCGUCAAACGAUGCGACGACAUCUCGGAUAAUCGCAGAUCUAAAAACAGAGAUAAAGAGAGAGAAGGAGCGUAGAGAGAGAAAGUACCUUUAGCGCUGCGGAGAGAAAAAUGAAAAGAAGUGGAGAGGGGUGCGCUAUUUAUAGGGAGAGAUAAGCGCAGGGAUCAAGGCGUCAUCAUUACGCCUAAUAAGGCCUAAGUGGGCCUAAACCCAAUUAGGCGCGUGAUCGACAGAUGCGUCGAUCCGUCUUCUCGAUCCGUAAGCGUUUAUCUCACGAUCGCAACGCGUGAUAAACAGAUGCGUCGAUCCAUUUCCUCGGUUGAGAAGCGUUGAUAAACGGAUUGACUCCUCAACGAUCAGUCACUUGCUCGGAUUGAACCUUUUGUUCUCCGAACUAAAGAUAUCAAAUUCAUCGAAGAUCGAUUGCUCGACCAUCAAUGAACUGGGGGGGGACUUACUGUUGGGGAUGGAUUUAACCCAUCCACAAAGCCCAUCGAACAAAGGGCCAAUCAGCAGAUCGAGUCAACCUCGGCUCGGAAGCCGAUUCUCGGGGUAUCGGCUUAGCCAGGAAACGCUGUUAGUCGAAGCAGAGAGCAAACGAAGCGGGACCAAUCGACUAAGCGGCUCGGAGCGAUCACCUCCUAAUCAGGCCCGAAGGGCCGACAAGGCCCAAUCAGUAAAAGGAGAUUAGGUUAAGGUAAUCGAACAGAGUAUAAAAGGAGAGGAAAGCAAAGGAGAAAGGCAUCGACACUUAGCUACACAAACAAACUUAGGGCUGAUGAGAUUAGGGUUAUCAUCGUACAAUCAUCUCUCUGCUAUUUGUACUUUUCCGGUUUAAGCUCUCACGAGCUCCGGCUUGCUUUUACUUUCUCCACCUUUGUAACAUCAUCUCGAAAUCUAAUAAACGCCUCUGUUCGACCCAUUUCUAGUAUUGUUUACUUCACCCGAGACCAAACUCACCUUAAANNNNNNNNNNNNNNNNNNNNNNNNNNNNNNNNNNNNNNNNNNNNNNNNNNNNNNNNNNNNNNNNNNNNNNNNNNNNNNNNNNNNNNNNNNNNNNNNNNNNUGUUGGGGAUGGAUUUAACCCAUCCACAAAGCCCAUCGAACAAAGGGCCCAAUCCAGCAGAUCGAGUCAACACCUCGGCUCGGAAGCCGAUUCUCGGGGUAUCGGCUUAGCCAGGAAACGCUGUUAGUCGAAGCAGAGAGCAAACGAAGCGGGACCAAUCGACUAAGCGGCUCGGAGCGAUCACCUCCUAAUCAGGCCCGAAGGGCCGACAAGGCCCAAUCAGUAAAAGGAGAUUAGGUUAAGGUAAUCGAACAGAGUAUAAAAGGAGAGGAAAGCAAAGGAGAAAGGCAUCGACACUUAGCUACACAAACUUAGCGGCGAGAUUAGGGUUUAUCAUCCGUACAAUCAUCUCUGCUAUUUGUACUUUUCCGGUUUAAGCUCUCACGAGCUCCGGCUUGCUUUUACUUUUCCACCUUUGUAACAUCAUCUCGAAAUCUAAUAAACGCCUCUGUUCGACCCAUUUCUAGUAUUGUUUACUUCACCCGAGACCAAAACACCUUAAACAAUUGGCGCCCACCGUGGGGCCGAACAGACCCAGCGUUUCUAGACCGAUAUGACCACCGGAGGUACGAACCCUGAUACCUCAGGAGAGGAGCCGGCACUCACGCCUCCUCCGCCUCCUCCCCUCCUCUCGUCGGAAUUCAUGAGUUCAGUCAUAGCCCGACUUGCUCAUCAAGAAGAAGUUCAGAAGACGACGAAUGAUCAGCUCGCCGCCAUUGUCGCUGCUCUUAGCGCCUCCACCGGCAACUCACAACCGCUCCGUCGUUACCUCUUCAAUACAAACCCUCCUACUCCGGCAGAAGGACGAACGACGAACCCAGUCGAUCCCACUCUUCAACUCGCGGAAACCCUAGCCGCCGAUGCUUCUCCAUACGCGUCAGAUCCAUCAACUGUCCGAGAAAUCGCUGAGCUUAAACUAAAUUUCCAACAAAUGAGUUCGAGGAUCCACCAAGCAACGAGCGCAGUACCCGAGAUUGACAGUGUCAUCGCAUCAACAUCGCGUACUCCUUUCACCGAGGAACUGACGGAGGUCAAACUCCGAAAGAUGGACAAGUUGCGUCUUCCGGAAUACAAACCAGGAGGAGAUCCCGUCGAGCACUUGACGGCUUUUAAUAUUGCGGUAGCGAGGGCCAGACUCGCCCCCGAUGAAAGAGACGCGGGAUACUGCCAACUUUUCAUUGAAACACUCAACGAGCAAGCCUUAACCUGGUUCUCGGGACUCGAAGAGAAUUCAAUUAGAAGCUUCAAAGAGCUCUCCUCGGCUUUUCUCAAGACUUACAUCAUGUUCACCAAGCGUGAAGCAACGGCGUCGACUCUCUGGAACCUCAAGCAAACGAAGGAUCAGAAUCUUCGCGAUUACAUGGAACGUUUUAAGUCGGUCGUGUCAAGAAUCAAUAUCCCAGACCCACAUCGCCGUCGAUGCCUUGAGGAACAAUCUCCUUGUGGAAUGUAAGUUCCGAGAAGAUCUCUAUCGAUGCACCGCCACGACGUUGCAAGAUGCCGUUGCUCGUUCUCACAACUUCAUUCGUAUGGAAGAAGACACUAAAGCCAUCUUGAGCAAGCACAACUCGGCGAAGCAAUCGGCGCCUAAAAAUGCCGCCACAGCUCACGUCGAACCUCGUCAGCAUGCUCCAAGCGACAAAAUAACCGUAAGAACGGUCUCCUUUACGUCGUCGACGAAAACGGGAAGAAGUGGAACACCUUUCAUCGGGAAACCGAUCCUCCAAGCGAAUCCCCCCGAGCAACAGCGCCAGCCACGGUCGCCCAGGUCGAUUCGGCAGCGGGAUCUUCCCGGACCCCACCAGGGCUUACUAAAUCGUGCAAACUCCACGGCGUAAAAGGUCACGACACUUCAGAGUGCAAAACACUUUUUGCGCAAUUCCUCUCCUCACUCGAAAGCGGUGAAAUUAAGAUUCCUCCUCCGAAGCCAAAAAGCGAGAACAGUUGGAGCAGAAACAAGGACAGGAAAAAUCAGCGAAAAAAUCAAGCAAGACCGCGUCAAGACGACAAAAAACCAAAGGUCGCCGAGCAAAUCCCACAUCAAGACGAUGAUGGUGACGCCUCAGCUGACGAAGAUCCGCCGGCAGCCAGACAAAGGAUUGAAGUCAUUCGAGCCCAACCGGAGUCCUCAUCAGACGAAGAGAGCGAUCUCGAGGAAGCCUCGACCCGUUGGACUUACGUGUACUCCUCAAACGAAAGACCACGCCAACGAAUGACAAGACUCCCGGAUCAUCCGAUCUCCGAGUCGAGCUCAAUGCUAAAAGAACUAAGCAUUCGCUGAGCCCAGGAUCCUCAUUGGUAACUACGGAAGGCAAUCCUAUCGUCGAUCUACGAGAUCAGCUUAACGCGCGAGUCGGUGAUUUGCGUGCAAAACUGGACCACAAAAAGGCCGGGUCGCCGAAAGAAAGCGAAGACCUCCGAGCUCUUCUCACCAGGAAGCAAUCAAGUGUCAGGCCGCGGAUCAACGUGAUUAUGGGAGGAUCUCCACCUUGCGGGGACUCCGUACGAGCAGUCAAAGAUCACCGACGAAUGGUGGACACCUCGCAGCGCUGGCCGCAGAAGUUCCCAACUGAUCUCCCAAUCUCCUUCUCAACUGAAGACCUUGUCGGAGUAACUUUCCCUCACAACGAUCCUCUCUCGUCGUUUUAGCCAUCGAUAAGUACGACGUCACCAAAGUGCUGAUCGAUACUGGCAGCUCGGUCGAUAUCAUUUUUCGCGAAACUCUCGUAAAAAUGGGAAUCGACUUAAAAGACGUGAAACCGUCAUCCAGGACUCUCACCGGCUUUAACGGUUCUUCCGAAGUAAUCAUGGGAACUAUCCGUCUCUCGGUACAAGCAGAGGGAGUAGCACGGAUGGUCAAGUUCUCGGUAGUCAGCACCAAGGCUCCCUACCACGUGAUACUAGGCACUCCAUGGUUGUACUCCAUGCGUGCAAUCGCAUCCACGUACCAUCAGUGCGUCAAAUUCCCGGGAAUGGAUGGCACGACUAAGACAGUGAGAGGAGAUCAACGGGCCGCGCGAGAUCUCUUAAUCGCCACGGUCAAACUGCAGCGAUCUCAGUCACUAGUCAACUCGAUCUCACCUCCUAUCAGCAAGAUCUGCCCACAAAAGGAAGAGGUGCUCGAAGUCCCAGUCGACGAAUCGGAUCCAAGUAAAGUGCUACGAGUAGGCGCUUAUCUGUCGGACGAGAUGCAACGUGAUAUCACGGAUUUCCUGAAGCAAAACUUGUCUACCUUUGCCUGGUCGAUGACUGACAUGCAGGGAAUCGACCAGUCCAUCACGACUCACGAGCUAAACGUAGACCCAAAUAUUAAGCCCAUCCGACAGAAGAGACGAAAGUUGGGUCCCGAAAGAUCCAAAGCAGUUGUCGAGGAAGUCGAGCGCUUACUAAGCGCGGGCUCAAUAGCAGAAGUUCGUUACCCGGAAUGGCUCGCUAACCCGGUGGUUGUCAAGAAGAAAAACGGCAAGUGGCGCAUGUGCGUCGAUUUUACUGACCUCAACAAAGCCUGCCCAAAAGACAGCUACCCACUUCCGAACAUCGACAGAUUGGUCGAGUCAACUGCCGGCAAUGAAAUGCUCACGUUUAUGGACGCUUUCUCGGGAUACAACCAGAUCAUGAUGCAUCCCGACGAUCGAGAGAAGACGUCGUUCAUAACGGAUCGAGGAACUUACUGCUACAAAGUAAUGCCCUUCGGGCUGAAGAAUGCCGGUGCGACGUACCAGCGACUUGUCAACCGCAUGUUCGCUAAACAGCUCGGUACAACGAUGGAAGUCUACAUCGAUGACAUGCUCGUCAAAUCAGUCCGAGCAAACGACCACCUGGCACACUUAAGGGAGUGUUUCGACAUCCUAAACGCGUACAAGAUGAAGCUAAACCCGGCCAAAUGCACUUUCGGGGUAUCGUCCGGAGAAUUCCUUGGCUACAUAGUGACGCAGCGGGGAAUCGAAGCAAACCCGAAGCAAAUAUCAGCUGUCCUUGAUCUCCCCAGUCCGAGAAACUGCCGAGAAGUCCAACGACUAACAGGCCGAAUCGCAGCACUUAAUCGUUUCAUCUCCCGAUCCACCGAUAAAUGCCUCCCAUUCUACGAUCUCCUCCGAGGAAACAAGAAAUUCAUUUGGGACGAUAAAUGUGAGGAGGCUUUUAGUCAGCUCAAACAUUACCUGACGAAGCCCCCUAUCCUGGCAAAGCCGGACAUAGGCGACGUUUUAUCUCUCUACAUUGCGGUCUCAUCCGCCGCAGUCAGCAGCGUGCUAAUCAAGGAGGACCGAGGAGAACAACGACCUGUUUUCUACAUGAGCAGGAGGAUGACCGGACCAGAAACCCGGUACCCGACACUUGAAAAGAUGGCCCUGGCCGUCGUCGAAUCAGCGAGGAAACUCCGCCCAUAUUUUCAGUCACAUUCGGUAGAAGUUCUCACCGACCAGCCGCUCAGAACUGUCCUACAAAACACGAACAGAGCUGGCCGUCUUACCAAAUGGGCGAUCGAACUCGGAGAGCUCGACAUCACUUAUAAGUGUAGAACCGCCGCUAAGGCUCAAGUCCUCGCUGAUUUCCUCGUGGAGUUAUCUCCGGAACUCGCUCAAGAUUUGGAAACCUCGGAUUCAACAUGGAUCCUGCAUGUCGACGGUUCCUCGACAAACAAAGGCUCUGGAGCAGGAGUUCAGCUUCAAUCCCCAUCGGGAGAACUCAUUCGACAGUCGUUCAGUUUCGGUUUCCCAGCAUCAAACAACGAAGCAGAGUAUGAGUCACUCAUCGCCGGCCUUCGCCUCGCCAAAGCAGUCAAGGCUAAGCGACUCAGUGCGUACUGCGACUCACAGCUCGUCGCCAGUCAGUUCAGCGGUGAUUACGAUGCGCGCAACGAUAGAAUGGAUGCUUACCUCCGAGUCGUACAAGCAUUGGCUAAAGAGUUCGAAUUCUUCGAGCUCACAAAGGUUCCUCGUGGAGAAAAUGUCUGUGCGGAUGCGUUAGCAGCACUCGGAAGCAAGCUACGCGAUCAAGUCAAAAGGACUAUUCCAAUCCACCGAAUCGAGAAACCAAGCAUCGACAUCUCAACGGAAUCAGCUAACUUCGUCACCACAGAACCCGAAACAACGCCCUUAUCUAAGACCAACGACGACUCCGAGAUGACAGACCAAGAUCAGCUACUACCCGACUGGAGGACUGAAUUCAUCCAAUAUCUCACCGCGGGCACACUUCCAACGGAUAAAUGGGCCGCAAGACGAUUAAAGAGGCGCAGCGCGCACUACGUCGUCAUGGAAGAAGAACUCCACCGAGUAACGGCUAACAAGGUCCUCCUGAAAUGCAUUUUCGCCGAGCAAACACAUUUAGUAAUGGCAGAAACUCACGAAGGAGCGGGUGGAAACCACUCUGGAGGUCGAUCACUAGCCUUGAAAAUUCGGAACUUGGGAUUUUUCUGGCCAACUAUGAAUACCGACUGCGAAGCAUAUGCCCGGCGAUGCGACAAAUGCCAACGACACGCUCCGAGUAUCCACAGUCCAACCGAGCUACUGCGAACUUCCGCAGCACCUUACCCAUUCAUGCGAUGGGGGAUGGAUAUCAUCGGACCAAUGCCGAAUUCUCGCCAACGUCGCUUCGUGCUGGUAUUGACCGACUAUUUCACCAAAUGGAUUGAAGCAGAAGCCUUCGCGCAGGUUACAGAGAAGGAGGUUCGCGGCUUUGUUUGGAAGAACAUUAUCUGUCGCCACGGCCUACCAUACGAGAUCGUGACGGACAACGGAUCACAGUUUAUGGCCGGAAACUUUAAAGAUUUCUGCAACAAGUGGAACAUCCGACUAAGCCCUUCAACGCCGAGGUAUCCUCAAGGAAACGGACAAGCAGAAUCCUCGAAUAAGAUCAUCAUCGACGGAAUCAAGAAGCGCCUCGAUCUCAAAAAGGGACAUUGGGCCGAUGAACUCGACGGCGUGCUCUGGUCGCAUCGGACAACCCCCCGAGGAGCAACAAAAUCUACUCCCUUCUCACUCGCUUACGGGAUGGAGGCGAUGGCUCCGGCCGAGGUCAAUGUAACGAGUCUCCGCCGGUCUAAGAUGCCUCAGCACGUUGAGCUUAACCAAGAGAUGCUGCUAGAUGCCCUCGAUGGGCUAGAAGAGAAGCGCGACCAAGCCUUACUUCGGAUCCAGAAUUACCAAAACCAAAUCGAGAGCUAUUACAACAAGAAGGUCCGCUCGCGUCCUCUCGAGCUCGGUGAUCUGGUCAUGAGAAAAGUCUUCGAGAACACCAAAGAGCCCAACGCUGGAAAACUCGGUGCGAAUUGGGAAGGACCAUAUAAAAUCACUCGAGUCGUCAAACCAGGAGUAUACCGACUCGAGACUUCCCGCGGAGAGGCAGUCCCACGAGCUUGGAACUCCAUGCAUCUUCGCCGUUUUUACUCAUAAAAUGAGUAACUUUUCAGAGCGAGUAAAAUGAUCUACAUCACCUUUUUGCUCGCGCCAAAAAAAAAAAAAAAAAAAAAAAAAAACCGAGCAGAUGCACCCUACGGUCACUUCUACUCGCCCAAGUAAAUGACUACCAAGUCACUUUUACUCGGACUAAAACGAACUACGAAAGGCUUGAUCCUCCUCGGAGGUACGUAGGCAUCCCCUCUACGGGGUCCAGCCCCAACAACCCAAAACAAAAAAAAAAAGUUUUACUCAUCUCGUUCCUCUCACGAGCAAACGAUGCCAGCCCCUUAACUCGAAAAGCGGCGCACGAGCACUCGCCCAAAUUAAUCGAACGUAUCCUGAUCAGAUAUCGAACGAAGGGAAAAACAGAGUCACCGAUGAUGUAAAUCAUUGACCAAAUUCACGAAGUGGAAUUUCGGAUCUUAUCGCAAAUCGAAAAAUAAUGAGUUGGCCGACCAAAUUUUCUCGAUUACGGCGUAGCAUUCAGAUACCUUUCCCUCGGAAACUUAUCAAAAAGAAAAUUCUUGUCUUAACUCUUUCCCGACUUAUCACAAGAAAGAAUAGUGGGAUUGAGUUAACGAGCAACGAAUAAUUUCAUAAUCGACUAAGACGUUAGCGGUUAUCCGUAACAUACUUAAAAGAAAAAACACUUGGUAAUCAUUCAAAGUUUAAAAAAAAAAAGGGGCAAAGGAAACCUUCCGAGUACUUAAACAACAACAGAGACAAGUUCAAAGGCUUCAAGGAGCCGAAAUAGAAAAAUUUUACAACAGAUGACGACAGGCAUCAAUCAACCACGGGAGGAUCCUCGUUGCCGCGGCCAUCUCCUUCUCCGGGACCCGAGACACGACCAAAUUUGGUUGGGGCUGGCGCAGUCGCGUCUGCAGUAGGCAUCCCCGCAAGAGCAUCAUCACCUUUCUCCGGGUCCUCUGACGACGAAGCAGAUGAGCUGGCAUUCUUCGAUGCCUUAGCAGGGGAAUCCGUUAGCACGAUAGUCGGCACGGCUCCGUCCUUCAAAACAACCGCUCCUGCUGAUGCCUGCUUCGCAGGGUCAAUGUCUUGGUCGGUGGGCUGGUUGGAGGAUACAGCAGUUUGAGCGGGCUUCUCCACCGGAUCUUCAGGACGAAGAGGAGUACGCAGAGCAAUAGCGGCCUCCGAAUCGAUCAAAUUAAUAUUUGACCCAAACGGGUCAAGCUGACGCCAAAUUUCCUCGAUCAAAAAUCGAGACUCCAACACUAGCGGAGAAAGGCAAAGAUCUUCCGCCGGAAUCUCCUUUACCUCCAAACGCUCUGCUUCUUCCUCGUAGUGCUUCUCUUGCCCGAUGAAGAAGUCGAUGGUUUCCUGCGGGAUCUCAACACCAGAGGCCUUGAUCUGCUCGAGACAUUUCCUCGUCCCGAAGGCUUGACUAUAGAGACACCGAGCAUCGUCGUAUUUGUCCCUUUUGUCCUCACGAAGGGAAAUCCUGUGAAAGCGUUUCUCGGCUUUAGCGAUCAUGGCAAUCAGCACGCGAACCCUCUCGUGCGUGACCUCGUAUUUACGAGAUUUCCGAAGCCUGUCCAUCUCCUCGGAAUGCCUUAGCAAUUCCGCAGCCAUUUUUGCCUCUAGAUCAGCCUUUUCCUUCCGCUGCUUAUCCACCACGAACUCGAGAUUGUUCAUCGCCUCCUUACACAUCUGCAGUUCAGCCGCGUCAGAUGUUCGCGUCUCGUCAAACGCUUUCCUGAGAGAUUUCUCCCGAGCAAUGGCUUCAGCCUUUUCCCGCGAAGACACCCAAGAGCCUCCUCCGCUUUCUUCUUGGCUUCUUCGCUCUCACGGAUCUGCUCUCUAGCCCGCCUGAGGGCUGUGUCAUACUUCCCGACCAGAACAUUCCAGUCGCCGUGGCUCUGAUCAAAACACAAAAAGACUUAGCCAAAAUAAUUUAAGGUUCGGAAAAGAAGGGAACGAACAACCGCUUACCUUUACAGACGAGCAAGAGGCGUGCUCAUACUCAUCUUUGAAGAUGAGAUCUCCCACCGAAGGGAGUUGAUCGGGACCGCCUUUGACCAACCGUAACAGGCGAGCACAAUCUUCCGGGUAGCAAGCCAGCGGAAGCUCACGGUUAAACUCGAAUCUGAACCCAUCUGCCGGGGUUUCCUUAGGGCGACCGGAUACUCGGGUCUCAGAUCCCUCCGUGACAUGAGCAGGGGACUAAUUCCUCAAGCGGUCCCGCUGUCCUCCCGAAGUCGAUAUUCCCCUCGGAACCUCAGUAGAACGCAGAUCACCGGCCAAGGCUCCACGGGAUACCUCCUCGGUGACUCGACUCUCCCGUCUCCGUCGGCGGAGGGCGAUGGUCUCGUUCUCAUCAUCCUCCGAGGUCCCAACCUCAGGGAUAGCUUCAGGAACUAGAGCCUGAAGUUCCUCUUCGCAGACCGAGGAUGAGCGGGGCGGAGCCGUUUCUUUCUUCUUCAUCCUCUUCUUCUUGGGAAUAUCUUCAGAAGGCGGGUCCCCGGCUUUCCUUUUCUUCCCCCCUUUCUUAGAAGAACCAUCCGCACCAGGAUGUUCCGGCUCGGAGGAAUCCUUCGGACCCCCGGCACUUUUCUUGCUCUUCUUCGAGCUUUUACCCUGCGAGGAGCCGCCAGUACGCGCCUGCUCAGUGGCAAUUGGAGUCGCCUCUACGACCUCCAGUCCCGAAGGACCAACCCUGUUCUCAGAAGCGCCUCGCUUGGCACCGAUCUUCCCGGCUACAAUAAGACUAAGGUCUGGUAGUUGCUUCAUCGUUUUAGCUCGGUUGAUCUCCUUCUGCUCGGCUCUCGUAAAGAGGGAUAAUCUCUUCGAUGUCGAUCGGUUAAUAUGAGGAUGCGGUUCCGAGAUCCAGCUUUCUGCAAAAAGAGAAAUCCUUAAUAGACAUCGUUCAUUUACUCGAGAACAUAGAAAGGUAGUGGAAACUUACGGUUGGCAAUCCGGUCUACAGAUCUCUGAAUUCUCUCUCGAGUAAAAUCCUCCCAGUGAUCUUGCUUCUGCAACGCAACAAUUCGAGCACUCUCCCUCCAAUCCUCGGGGUACGUGGCGAGAUUCGGGUGACCAACUAAAAAAAAAAAAAAGAAGAAAAACACACGUUAGACGAGCACACGCUACAAUCAUCACGAAAGGCAGUGUGCAGUACCCAUCUCCGCAUUCCAAAGAACGCGAUAACCAGACUUCGGAGGUUCCUCGAACGCUGACCUGUUCGACUUCACAUAGAAGUACGAACGUUGCCAAUCCGAGGUUUUGGUCGGAUACCCCGUAACCACGUUGUAGUUUGGGCGCAUCCUCGUCGAGACGAGCCCAUCAUCGGAAAUUGAAACCGAGGUCAAUUCUUCAAACGACCUCACACUCAUCGACGUCCCCGCCUCGGCCGCAAUUACCGAUAGAACGACCAUCAACCGAAGAGACCCGUUCAUCAGCUGGCUUAAAGCGACUCCUCUGCGGAACGCAUAAGUCGUGACGAUUCGAGGAAUCGGGAACCACAGCUUCGUGUCAUUCCGGAAAUAUGACUCGUAGAUGCACUGAUACCCCUUCGGGGGCGACCAAGGCCUCUGAUCCCGCUUUGGAAUGAUGAACGAGACCCCGUGUGCAUUGAGAUCUCGGAGAAUAGCCUCCACCGACUCCACGGUGGACUUCGUCCUCUCGACGUUGGACCAAUCUUGUCCAUCGACGACCGAAGGUCGAAUUCUCCAAACCUCCAGUGGGCUCUCCUCGGCGAAGAUGUUCCCAGGGUAGUAGCUGAUCGGAACAAUCGAGGCGUCGACCGCUUCUUGACCGUCGUCGUCACCCCGGAACUGUUCUCUUGCUUCCGAGACCAAAAGACGCUGCGCUAAAUCCAUAUUCUCCGUAUCCAUCAUUGCUCCGUGAUGGAUACUGUCAGGAUUCUCAGCAGAAUCCCGAGAAGAUACCGCCCCCUUUCCUUUUUGUUCUCGCGUCAAACGAUGCGACGACAUCUCGGAUAAUCGCAGAUCUAAAAACAGAGAUAAAGAGAGAGAAGGAGCGUAGAGAGAGAAAGUACCUUUAGCGCUGCGGAGAAAAAUGAAAAGAAGUGGAGAGGGGUGCGCUAUUUAUAGGGAGAGAUAAGCGCAGGGAUCAAGGCGUCAUCAUUACGCCUAAUAAGGCCUAAGUGGGCCUAAACCCAAUUAGGCGCGUGAUCGACAGAUGCGUCGAUCCGUCUUCUCGAUCCGUAAGCGUUUAUCUCACGAUCGCAACGCGUGAUAAACAGAUGCGUCGAUCCAUUUCCUCGGUUGAGAAGCGUUGAUUAAACGGAUUGACUCCUCAACGAUCAGUCACUUGCUCGGAUUGAACCUUUUGUUCUCCGAACUAAAGAUAUCAAAUUCAUCGAAGAUCGAUUGCUCGACCAUCAAUGAACUGGGGGGGGGACUUACUGUUGGGGAUGGAUUUAACCCAUCCACAAAGCCCAUCGAACAAAGGGCCCAAUCCAGCAGAUCGAGUCAACCUCGGCUCGGAAGCCGAUUCUCGGGGUAUCGGCUUAGCCAGGAAACGCUGUUAGUCGAAGCAGAGAGCAAACGAAGCGGGACCAAUCGACUAAGCGGCUCGGAGCGAUCACCUCCUAAUCAGGCCCGGAGGGCCGACAAGGCCCAAUCAGUAAAAGGAGAUUAGGUUAAGGUAAUCGAACAGAGUAUAAAAGGAGAGGAAAGCAAAGGAGAAAGGCAUCGACACUUAGCUACACAAACUUAGCGGCGAGAUUAGGGUUUAUCAUCCGUACAAUCAUCUCUCUGCUAUUUGUACUUUUCCGGUUUAAACUCUCACGAGCUCCGGCUUGCUUUUACUUUCUCCACCUUUGUAACAUCAUCUCGAAAUCUAAUAAACGCCUCUGUUCGACCCAUUUCUAGUAUUGUUUACUUCACCCGAGACCAAACUCACCUUAAACAACAUCUUUUAUCACGGCCUUAGAGAAAGACGUGGGCAAGAAGAUCCAAGAGAAAGAUCAGGAGAUGAUGACCAAUGGUUAGAAGUGUUGAGAAUAACUCAUAGGAGGGUAUACGCAUCCAUUAGUUAGUGUAUGCUGUAGGAUGUUGAUUUAAAUAGAUCCAUGACUAACGACUUUCCCAGUGUCUGAAACAGUGAUUGUAAAUGUUAGAAACUUAGAAUCAAUAUAAUACUGAUUUAUAUUAUUUUCUUGAGCAUUUUGAAUAAAAAAUAAAAUGUACUAUAUUCUGGAAGAGCAAGAAGUGCUCAUUGAGCAACUUCUGAAGAAAAUGGCUUAAAACAAAAUUAAUAUUUACGUUUUGCGUUUAUAAGAAAAAAAAAGAUCCUAAAAUACACCACAACCGAAAGCAAUUACUUACAAGUAUUAUGAAAAUUCGAAACUUAUAAAAAAAAAAUUGGAGAACACAAAAACUUAACUAAUCAAAACAAUUUCCUGUCAUCAUGUGUUUCGUAUGUCCAAAUUAUUUAAGUUAGAAUAAAUUUAUUUCUAAAAAAUUGAAAAAAAAACCUAUUUAGAACUGGUAUUUGGUUCAGAUUUUUUCAACCAUAAGCUUCACCCCUCUUCCACGUGUAUUUUUAUAUUAUAUAUUUCCACCAAACUUCGGGCUACUGUUAAGUACUCUUCAUGUUCUGUUUAGUAGCCCUUCAAGGGAGGAAGAAGAGAUUUAUAAAUGGUAUCUUUUAGUUUAAAAAAAUCCAUAGUUAGAACAUAAUCCGCGUGUAGGGCAGGAAAAAAACUUAAUAAACAUGAUAAUCACCAAACGUCAACUAAACACAAUCUUUAUAUAUAAAGUAGGGUUUGAAUCCCUCCCAGCUAUGCCACAUGGGAUGCCAGCACAACAAUUCCCUUUCUCAGCGUCUGACACGUGUCGAAUAAAUGAAACGCAGCGACUCAUCACUUAAGUUGCGUUUUGUUUCAUCAUGGGCCUUCGUGUUUUUAUGAGCCCUUCUAUCCACUUCGUAUUGUUUUUUUCUUGAAACCUCCGUUGAAUAAAUAAAUUAUGUGGAUGUGACAUGUGGCACUAUGGUUUUCUUUCUUCGUUCAUAUCGUCGAUGGCCCCCUUAAAUCAUCUCAUUAAAUUAUUUAUUCCUCUUUAAAUCCAAUCCACACCCCACUACGUUACAAUAAAUUCACCCAAGCCUCCUCCUAUUAUUUACUCCUAUAAAUAGGAAUAUCGAUUUUGAUAAUUCUCAUCACUUCAUCCAAAUCAUUUCUAUCUCUUGCUUCCAAACUACUGCGCUUCAACGUACCAGAGAUUUUCCAAUACACGAAUCAAGGUUCGAUUAGGUGGGUUUAGAACCCGAAACCAUGAAUGGACGCGUUGAUGUGGCCAUGUGGGAGUUUGAGAGAAACAGAGACUCUAAUCGCUGAGACAUGAGAUAAGAAGCCACUAUCCGAUGGUGAGCGGCUUGAAACUGAGAUAAAUGGUAGAAAUCUUUUCAUUUGUGAAAGUCACAUCCAGUCUGGUGUAGUUUUGUGUAUUAAUACUGCCAUGGUGAAGCAUCUCAGGAAACAAAAAUAAGAAGGACAAGAAGAAGAUAAUCAAUCGUUUACAGAGACAAAAAAAUAUAAAAGAUGAAGAGGCGUGGAAUCUUAUAUAAUAAAUAGAAAAAUAUCUAUAAUUUUGAUUUUACCCCUAAAAAAAUUGAAUUUUUUAAGAGAAUUCGAAAAGUCAAUGAGAGAGAGCGAGAAAGUCGAAAGACAUGACUAGGAGAAAUAAUAGAAAAAUGUUUUUAUUAAAAUGGUGACGUGAGGAGAAGAGUGAUCACAGAUUCACAACUGUAGACAUUCACAUGCCACAUUGGUAUCCUCUUGCUUUAGUUUGAUCCACAAAAUUACAAUGGUACCAUCUUUAUGUGUCUUUAGUGUUUAGUUUGAUUUCAAUUGCAAUUCAAAUAAAACAAAUGCUUUCAAAAAAGAAACUGUCCGAACAUAUAGUAGGAUGUAUUAGUUGAUAAAAAAAAAGUGAGAUUUAUUAAUAUAGCUAUUUUACAAAAAAAAUAAGAAUUACAUGUAAAAGUAAAUGCAAAAAUUAAAAAUUAUUAUUAACAAAAAUUAGCUAAACAGAGAUCACAUUCAAAUAAAAUAAAUGCUUUCAAGAAAAAAACUGUCAAACAUGUAGUAGGAUGUAUUAGUUGAUAAAAAAAAGUGGAAUGUAUUAAUAUAGCUAUUUUAGAAAAAAAAAGAAUUACAUGUAAAAUUAAAUGCAUAAAUUAAAAAAUAAUAAAUACUUAAUUACAAUUAAUGUAUUAAUAUAGCAAUUUUACAAAAAAAAAUAUAAGAAUUACAUGUAAAAUUAAAUGCAGAAAUUAAAAAAAUAGCUAAACAGAGAUCACAUUCAAAUAAAACAAAUGCUUUCAAGAAAGAAACUGUCCGAACAUAUAGUAGGAUGUAUUAGUUGAUAAAAAGUGGGAUGUAUUAAUAUAGCUAUUUUACAAAAAAAAAAUAAGAAUUAUAUGUAAAAUUAAAUGCAGAAAUUAAAAAAUAUUAUUAACAAAAAUUAGCUAAACAGAGAUCACAUUCAAAUAAAACAAAUGCUUUCAAGAAAGAAACUGUCCGAACAUAUAGUAGGAUGUAUUAGUUGAUAAAAAAGUGGGAUGUGUUAAUAUAGCUAUUUUACAAAAAAAAAAAAGAACUACAUGUAAAGUUAAAUGCAGAAAUUAAAAAUAAUAAAUACUUAAUUACAAUUAAUGUCUUAAAAUAUACUCAUAUUAGAUAAUAAAUGGAAUCUAAAACACAUAAAAUUAACAAAUAUUAACGUUGAACUAAAUAAUUUAACAAAAUGAGAAGCAGCUUUUUUCGAACUGAAAUCAACUGAAAACGUAAUCUACUCAAACCCUAAUGGAAGCUAUUUAUAAAACUGAAAACAUUUAAUUAUAGAGAAUACAGAAACAAAUCGAAUGCAUUUGUAUAAGUAUACGAUAAACACCAUUUUCAUAUACUAAGAAGAUAAAAUAAGGAGUUCAAAAAAAAAAGAUGAAACAAGAAGAAUCUCAAUUUGAGUGAAUGCUUUGACGAAUCUAAUUAAAAAAAAACAUAUGCAUUUUUUUUUUGAAGUGAUAAGAGCUUAGAGAGCCUUCCCUAAAUCACUAUGAAAAUAUUUCUCUAUCCAAAACGGUCAUGUUUUGAGAUGGACGCACAUUCUAAAUAAUAACUCAUUCUAGGUGAAACCAUAAUAAAAUGUAUUCAUAUGACACCCUACAAUGAGAGAGCUGCAACUACUUUUUUAUUGAUCAAAAACAAAAAUA